GACGUAGGAUGCAAGCGUUGUCCGGAAUCAUUGGGCGUAAAGCGUUCGUAGGCGGCAUGUUAAGUUUGAUGUUAAAGCCCGGGGCUCAACUCCGGUAAGGCAUUGGAUACUGGCAAGCUAGAAUACGGUAGAGGCAAGGGGAAUUCCUGGUGUAGCGGUGAAAUGCGUAGAUAUCAGGAGGAACACCGGUGGCGAAAGCGCCUUGCUGGACCGUUAUUGACGCUGAGGAACGAAAGCCAGGGGAGCGAAUGGG
Molecule: ribosomal RNA, 253 nt
Filed under: uncultured bacterium
Lineage: Bacteria
Description: partial 16S ribosomal RNA
Rfam family: Bacterial small subunit ribosomal RNA
Source: RNAcentral